UUCUUUAUCAGAUUUUUGAGGCGUUUGGUCCUGUUGAGGUUGUUCAGCUACCAGUUGACGCUGAAACUAAGCAGUGCAAAGGUUUUGGCUUUAUUCAGUUUGCCCAUCUUGAACAUUCAAAGGCAGCCCAAAUUGCCUUAAAUGGAAAGCUGGAGAUUUCUGGUAG
Molecule: non-coding RNA, 166 nt
Organism: Camelina sativa (false flax)
Lineage: Eukaryota; Viridiplantae; Streptophyta; Magnoliopsida; Brassicales; Brassicaceae
Source: RefSeq, a predicted model, not a curated record